GAUGAACGCUGGCGGCGUGCUUAACACAUGCAAGUCGAACGGGAAUUACUUUAUUGAAACUUCGGUCGAUUUAAUUUAAUUCUAGUGGCGGACGGGUGAGUAACGCGUGGGUAACCUGCCUCAUACAGGGGGAUGACAGUUAGAAAUGACUGCUAAUACCGCAUAAGACCACAGUACCGCAUGGUACAGGGGUAAAAAACUCCGGUGGUAUGAGAUGGACCCGCGUCUGAUUAGCUGGUUGGUGGGGUAACGGCCUACCAAGGCGAUGAUCAGUAGCCGGCCUGAGAGGGCGACCGGCCACAUUGGGACUGAGACACGGCCCAAACUCCUACGGGAGCAGCAGUGGGGAAUAUUGCACAAUGGGGGAAACCCUGAUGCAGCGACGCCGCGUGAAGGAAGAAGUA
RNAcentral lists this ribosomal RNA (404 nucleotides) under uncultured bacterium. RNAcentral describes it as "bacterial SSU rRNA". It matches the Rfam family "Bacterial small subunit ribosomal RNA", at positions 28 to 415 of the family's 1533-position model. The record is from RNAcentral.